GAGUUUGAUCGUGGCUCAGGAUGAACGCUAGCGGCAGGCUUAACACAUGCAAGUCGAGGGGCAUCGGGAGGGAAGCUUGCUUUCCUUGCCGGCGACCGGCGCACGGGUGAGUAACACGUAUGCAACCUGCCCUCUUCAGGGGACAACCUUCCGAAAGGGAGGCUAAUCCCGCGUAUAUCGGUUUCGGGCAUCCGUUAUCGAGGAAAGAUUCAUCGGAAGAGGAUGGGCAUGCGGCGCAUUAGCUUGACGGCGGGUAACGGCCCACCGUGGCGACGAUGCGUAGGGGUUCUGAGAGGAAGGUCCCCCACACUGGUACUGAGACACGGACCAGACUCCUACGGGAGGCAGCAGUGAGGAAUAUUGGUCAAUGGGAGAGAUCCUGAACCAGCCAAGCCGCGUGAGGGAAGACGGCCCUAUGGGUUGUAAACCUCUUUUGUCGGAGAACAAAACCCGGGACGUGUCCCGGACUGCGUGUAUCCGAAGAAAAAGCAUCGGCUAACUCCGUGCCAGCAGCCGCCGCGGUAAAACCUGAAACUGCCAAGG
This 543-nucleotide ribosomal RNA is filed under the name uncultured microorganism. Its description in RNAcentral is "bacterial SSU rRNA". It matches the Rfam family "Bacterial small subunit ribosomal RNA", at positions 9 to 540 of the family's 1533-position model. The record is from RNAcentral.